This 254-nucleotide ribosomal RNA is filed under the name uncultured bacterium. Its description in RNAcentral is "partial 16S ribosomal RNA". It matches the Rfam family "Bacterial small subunit ribosomal RNA", at positions 524 to 776 of the family's 1533-position model. The record is from RNAcentral.
UACGUAGGCAGCGAGCGUUGUUCGGAGUUACUGGGCGUAAAGGGUGUGUAGGCGGUUGUUUAAGUUUGGUGUGAAAUCUCCCGGCUCAACUGGGAGGGUGCGCCGAAUACUGAAUGACUUGGAGUGCGGGAGAGGAGAGUGGAAUUCCUGGUGUAGCGGUGAAAUGCGUAGAUAUCAGGAGGAACACCUGUGGCGAAAGCGGCUCACUGGACCAUAACUGACGCUGAUGCACGAAAGCUAGGGGAGCAAACAGG